UGGGGAAUAUUGGACAAUGGGGGGAACCCUGAUCCAGCCAUGCCGCGUGUGUGAAGAAGGCCUUAUGGUUGUAAAGCACUUUAAGCGAGGAGGAGGGUACUGGUAUUAAUACUACCAGCUACUGGACGUUACUCGCAGAAUAAGCACCGGCUAACUCUGUGCCAGCAGCCGCGGUAAUACAGAGGGUGCGAGCGUUAAUCGGAUUUACUGGGCGUAAAGCGUGCGUAGGCGGCUAAUUGAGUCGGAUGUGAAAUCCCCGAGCUUAACUUGGGAAUUGCAUUCGAUACUGGUUAGCUAGAGUGUGGAAGAGGAUGGUAGAAUUCCAGGUGUAGCGGUGAAAUGCGUAGAGAUCUGGAGGAAUACCGAUGGCGAAGGCAGCCAUCUGGCCUAACACUGACGCUGAGGUACGAAAGCAUGGGGAGCAAACAGG
This 430-nucleotide ribosomal RNA is filed under the name Pseudomonadota bacterium. RNAcentral's name for it is "Proteobacteria bacterium partial 16S ribosomal RNA". It matches the Rfam family "Bacterial small subunit ribosomal RNA", at positions 355 to 776 of the family's 1533-position model. The record is from RNAcentral. Lineage: Bacteria; Pseudomonadati; Pseudomonadota.